AGCCAGGCCAGACGCCACAAAACAUGGGCGAAAUCUGCAGUUGAAACUUCCUUCCCCGUCCCAAAUUUACUACACCCGGAGAGAGGCUCUUUUGCCAGAGUCUCCGGACAAAUGACUUCUGCUCGGCCCAGAGCACUGUAGCCCCGGGAAGCACGCUCAGAACUAGUCCCACGGCCAAGUUUCUUCACUCACCCGGUGGUUCUUCACCUUGUUGGGUCACAGAGCCUUCAAGGAGUCUAAGAAAGCUGUAGACCUUCUCUUCAGAAAAAUAUUAAUAAGCUCAUUCACACUAAAAUGUAUAGAUGAUUUCAAAGAGAAGUCUGCAGUUACCUGAGGUUCUUUGGAGAACAUCAUGGCUACUUGAGAUGGGAUCUAGAAAGACAACACCCUGCUCUUGAAUCCUGGGAGCUCCAAGAGGAAGUAGGACCAGAAUCUCAUUAACACUAGAAACCAAGAAAAUUUGGAUCUGUAUGAUUCAGAGC
Molecule: long non-coding RNA, 482 nt
Organism: Physeter macrocephalus (sperm whale)
Lineage: Eukaryota; Metazoa; Chordata; Mammalia; Artiodactyla; Physeteridae
Exons: 3
Source: RefSeq, a predicted model, not a curated record